Molecule: non-coding RNA, 1297 nt
Organism: Labrus bergylta (ballan wrasse)
Lineage: Eukaryota; Metazoa; Chordata; Actinopteri; Labriformes; Labridae
Source: RefSeq, a predicted model, not a curated record
UGUUCUGCAGCUAAACUUUGAUAAAAUAUGAUUAUUAAAGCAGAAAUGUGUCCGUUGAUGAUAUUUAACUGAAUGUACGCUCAGUGUCCAGUUUAUUUGUUCCUCUAAUAUGAAUUAUAAACAACUUCUUACAAACUGAGCAGUUAAAAAUACUCACUAGUAACUAAUUAAGGGUUAUUGAUUCGGGUUAGUGCAAGUGGAAUUUAUUUCUAAAGCUGGUUUGAACAAAGUGCAACAAGACUAAUUCAAAUGUUCUUGUUUAUGAUUUGAAAAGAAAAUUUAGAAAUUCACCGAGGUAAGUUUUGCACACGAGGUCGUAUCACAUCACAGAUUUUCAGAACGAUGAUUAAAACACAUGUGGAGUCUCAGAGACCCAGAAACAGAUUUCUGUUCUGACAACCCAAACAAGUCAACCCUUCAAAAUCAUGUUUAUAAACCAUUCUAAUAAAUUAACUUGAGGGCUUUGAGGUCACCAUCACCCCAUACUGACGUUCAUUUAUUUACCUACAGUUUGAUUAACUGUGGUCUCCGACCUGCAAGAGGCUUUUUAAGUGCUCCUCAGUAUCGUCUUUUUUAAUGUUUUAUCAUGCUGUAUUUUACUUUUCAGAGCUCCAGGAUGAUUCACGUUUCCAACAGACGGUCCCUUCACUAUCAGCAUGGUGCCUUCACUGACCUGGUGUUCUACACUGUUGUCUUCCUCGCCCUGAUGAACUCAUGUAGAGCUCAGUCUGAGGUGAUCGUUCCAUCUCAGCCAGUAGUUUCAUUGGUGGGUGAAGACGUUAUUCUGCCAUGUCACCUGGACCCUGUCAUGAAUGCUUUUGACAUCACUGUGGAGUGGGCGAGACCUGACCUGAACCCCAGAUUUGUCCUCUUGUGGCGUCAAGGCGAAGAACUGAAGACUAUAAAACAUCCGUCCUUCAGUGGAAGAACAUCAGUGUUCAUCGAUGAGCUGGAGAAGGGAAACGUCUCACUGAAACUCUCCAAAGUUAAAGUCUCUGAUGAGGGAGGAUACAAAUGCUGCUUGUUGUAGGUUCUGUCUCCUCACCUGUUGUUCAGAUGACCAAAAACAACACUGGAGUGUUGUUAGAGUGUGAGUCUGCAGACUGGUAUCCAGAGCCAGAGAUGUUUUGGCUGGACGGCGAGGGAAACCUCCUCUCUGCUGAACCCACUGAGACAGUCAGAGGUCCUGAUGGUCUCUACACUGUCAGCAGCAGAGUGACUGUGGAGAAGAGACAUGGGAGGAAGUUCACCUGUAGAGUCACACAGAGGAAGAUCAACCAGACCAGAGAGAAGCACC